RNAcentral lists this non-coding RNA (45 nucleotides) under Acidiferrobacter thiooxydans. RNAcentral's name for it is "Guanidine-II sequence". It matches the Rfam family "Guanidine-II riboswitch aptamer (mini-ykkC)". Rfam says of the family: Simpler in structure and has fewer highly conserved nucleotide positions than the ykkC-yxkD leader. Despite this each of its two stem-loop structures directly bind free guanidine. Lineage: Bacteria; Pseudomonadati; Pseudomonadota; Gammaproteobacteria; Acidiferrobacterales; Acidiferrobacteraceae. The record is from RNAcentral.
GCAUGGGGACGACCCCGUGGCCUAUGAAUUUUGCGGGACGGCCCG